GAUGAACGCUGGCGGCGUGCCUAACACAUGCAAGUCGAGCGAGAAGCCAUAAAAGGACACUUCGGUAGAAUUAUAUGGCGGAAAGCGGCGGACGGGUGAGUAACGCGUGGGAAACCUGCCUUUCACAGAGGGAUAGCCGAAGGAAACUACGAUUAAUACCUCAUAAAGCAAAAGCUUCGCAUGGAGCGAUUGCCAAAGAAUAAUCGGUGAAAGAUGGUCCCGCGUCUGAUUAGUUAGUUGGUAAGGUAGCGGCUUACCAAGGCGACGAUCAGUAGCCGGCCUGAGAGGGUGAACGGCCACAUUGGAACUGAGACACGGUCCAGACUCCUACGGGAGGCAGCAGUGGGGGAUAUUGCACAAUGGGCGAAAGCCUGAUGCAGCAACGCCGCGUGAAGGAAGAAGGCUUUCGAGUCGUAAACUUCUGUCCAAAGGGAAGAAAAGAU
This 443-nucleotide ribosomal RNA is filed under the name [Eubacterium] minutum. RNAcentral describes it as "bacterial SSU rRNA". It matches the Rfam family "Bacterial small subunit ribosomal RNA", at positions 28 to 454 of the family's 1533-position model. Lineage: Bacteria; Bacillati; Bacillota; Clostridia; Peptostreptococcales; Anaerovoracaceae. The record is from RNAcentral.